RNAcentral lists this ribosomal RNA (404 nucleotides) under uncultured soil bacterium. RNAcentral's name for it is "bacterial SSU rRNA". It matches the Rfam family "Bacterial small subunit ribosomal RNA", at positions 53 to 493 of the family's 1533-position model. The record is from RNAcentral.
ACAUGCAAGUCGAACGGGAUCCUGGCUUCGGUCAGGUGAGAGUGGCGGACGGGUGAGUAACGCGUGGGAACCUGCCCAGUGGUGGGGGAUAACUGCGGGAAACUGCAGCUAAUACCGCAUGAGCCCGAGAGGGGAAAGAUUUAUCGCCAUUGGAGGGGCCCGCGUUCGAUUAGGUAGUUGGUGAGGUAACGGCUCACCAAGCCGACGAUCGAUAGCUGGUCUGAGAGGAUGAUCAGCCACACUGGGACUGAGAUACGGCCCAGACUCCUACGGGAGGCAGCAGUGGGGAAUAUUGGACAAUGGGGGCAACCCUGAUCCAGCAAUGCCGCGUGAGUGAUGAAGGCCUUCGGGUUGUAAAGCUCUUUUGCCAGGGACGAUGAUGACGGUACCUGGAGAAUAAGCCC